RNAcentral lists this ribosomal RNA (253 nucleotides) under uncultured bacterium. RNAcentral describes it as "partial 16S ribosomal RNA". It matches the Rfam family "Bacterial small subunit ribosomal RNA", at positions 524 to 776 of the family's 1533-position model. The record is from RNAcentral.
UACGUAGGGGGCAAGCGUUAUCCGGAUUUACUGGGUGUAAAGGGAGCGUAGACGGAAUUGCAAGUCUGAUGUGAAAAUCCGGGGCCCAACCCCGGAACUGCAUUGGAAACUGUAUUUCUAGAGUGUCGGAGAGGCAAGUGGAAUUCCUGGUGUAGCGGUGAAACGCGUAGAUAUCAGGAGGAACACCAGUGGCGAAGGCGGCUUGCUGGACGAUGACUGACGUUGAGGCUCGAAAGCGUGGGGAGCAAACAGG